Oryza sativa Japonica Group (Japanese rice) is the source of this 2172-nucleotide RNA transcript. RefSeq lists it as uncharacterized. The record is from RefSeq and is a predicted model, not a curated record. NCBI's taxonomy places the organism in Eukaryota, Viridiplantae, Streptophyta, Magnoliopsida, Poales, Poaceae.
CUGAGAGGAGCGAGGAGCCUCUCUACCGCUGAUUUUGCCGGCCUGCCGCUCGCCCGAUCUGCUAGUCGCGGGCGUCCCCUGCUGCCGAAGCUACGGGAUGCGAUGACCUUCAGUCUGAGGCUAUGGGAACUGGUGGCGUCAGGCUCAUGCCGCCGGAUUCGAUUGUCUCCUAGAAGCACACGAAGCCAUGGCGGUGAGUGGAACCCAGUGGCCGAAGAUGCAGAUAAAGGUCUGGCGGGAGGCAGUCCCCGAGACCUUCCUCGAGCUCUGUCCAACCAAUCUUCGUUGGACAGCGUAUCUCGCUCUCACCACCACCAUCUCUCGUUGGCGCCGCCGCAAGGGGUCACGGGCUCGCCACGCCACCGCCGGAGCCCAUCGAUGUCCGGCCGCUCGUAGCAGCAGUGCAACACCAGCACCAGACCAACACAUGUUCUUCCUAGCCUUCUCCAAGUCGAAUCGAUCCCAACUCCAGCGCCUGACAACGCCGUCGUGCCGCCAGCCACCUCCUGCAUUGCUUGGCUCGCGAGCCAAACGAGCUAGCUCGAGCUUCAAAACGAGCCGAGCCGAGCUAGCAGUUUAGCUCGUUAGGAUAACGAGCCGAGCCAGCUCGUUAUCCUAGCGAGCCAGGCCGAGCCGAGCUAGCUUGAUAUCCAUCCCUAGGGAGGCGGUUGUAGUGGAGCGGCGGCUAAGGGCACCUCCCGUGUCGUCCCUGCCCUAGGGGCGACGCGGGGGCAAGGAUGCAAAUACAAGAAGUAGACGUGUUAUAUUUGAUAUUGCGUUUUAAGGAUAUAAUCCAAACUCAACGAUAUCUAAAGUAAUCUUAUAUCGCUUUUGCUAUUAUGCAGUCGCCUGCAAAUUAGCAAUCGAUCAGUCGAUCACGCUGGCCGUUGAUUCUGCUUCAAUAUUUGUGCGUGUUAUCGGGCUAGUGGGGAGGCUCUUUUGGAUAUGGGCCACGCUUCCUAGGCCUUCUUUUUAAUUAAAAAAAACUAAAAAAAUUGUGUCCGCCGCGUGCACCAUCGAACAGAUAUGCCGAUGACUUUUCCCCACCACCGCUGCCCCGACUCAAUCUCAGAAAUUACUGCGGAGAAGGCAAUCCAUCACCUCCCUCUCCCGUCUCCCUGGUGGCGCGAUUUUGUCCAUCGGCGGCCACGAGCGGCGGCGUCACCUUCCUCUCCCAUCUCGUCGAGCGGCGGCAUGAGGUCAGCGCGACUUUUUCUCAGGUGCAGUAUACGAAUUCAUCAAUGUGCAAGCAAGCAAGAGAAGAAUUUUUUUCAGCAGCUUGCUCUUGUGGCGAAGCAGAACUUGUUUUUGCUAGAGGUAAUCAAACAUUCAAACUCUGAGGUGUUGCUGCUGCUUAUAUAUUCACCCAAAGAUUGACAUAGCUACACAUUCUUUUGCUCACAACCAUGGAUGGCAGAAAAGCUGCUGUUUGCUUGAUCAUUGUGCUUGUGUUAACACUUGGCAAUCCUACUUCUGCAGGAGUGUGCUGGCAAUCUAAUACCAAGAUGCCUUUCUGUGCGGGUUUUAUGUGCAAGAUCUCCUGCUGGAUCUCCUCGAAAUUCACCAAGCAAAAUGUCAAGAGUUACAGGUGCAGGGGAUCGGGUCCCAAGGGCAGAUGCUACUGUAAUAUUUGCGACAAAAAUUACUGAUUCAGAUAGAUUUUAACCAUUUAUCAGAUCGAAGGGAUCAGUGAUAUUUUUUUUGCGUUUUUUUUCUGCGGGGGUUAGUGAUAUCUAAUUCUUCAAUUAUUAUUAGUUAGUCUCAUUGGGUAAUUUGUUCUGGUUAUUAGCUCAUAGUUGUUUGGAGUUGUAUUUGUUAAUUUGGCAAUAAUUUUGAAGGGGGACAUAUCCGGUAAAAACCAUCAAAUAAGUGAAAACCCGUAAAAACCAUUUCUAAAAGUUUUAUAAAUUCAUGAAAAAAUUACUAGAGAUAGGUAUAGGCAUGAAAUAUAUUCAUACCAAAUCUUAAGUUAAAACUCAACUUCAUUUGAGAGAAAUCUCUUAAAUGAAGUUGAGUUUGGACUUAAAUUUAGUAUGAAUAUAUUUCAUGCCUAAUUUUUUCAUGAAUUUACAAAACUUUUAGAUAUGGUUUUCACUUAUUUGAUGGUUUUCACUGGAUAUUCCCCAGAUGGAUCUGUGCUACAAUGUUAUAUGAUCAUAUUAUUUCGCUUUA